UCUUAGGAGGUUAUCAGCUGGAAUCGUGGACUCUUCGACUUAGAUCAAACCGGAAACACGCGAAAAAACUUAAGCAGUAAGACUAAAGACAGAACGCGACAACGACGUUACACCUGACAACAACGCGAUAGUCAAUCAGCAUUUUGUUCUUAUGGAAAAGCGGCACAUUAAUUGGUUAUUACCUCUUGCUUUUUAUUCCCGGCACGUUUGUUUUUUCAAAGCGUAAUGAGACAUGCAGGCUGCAUCAUCAACUGGAGUGAUUGGAUGUAUUGGGAAAUGCAUGAGUGGUUUGACAGUUGAAGAGCUAGAUAAAAUAACAGAUAACGUAAACAAGACUUUGUCUCAUCCAAAAGGCAGACAGAUUUUGGCAAAGUAUCUUGAACAAAACAAUCUUAAAAGUGGUUUGGAUUGUUUGGACUUAUACAAUGUCUGUUCAGAUUUUCUUGCUAAGGCUCAAUCGGAACGUUAUGUGGACUCAUUAACUGAAGAUGUAACAACACUGAUGGAUAUGGUUGAUUCUGUAAAUGGAGUUGAGCAACUAGAUAUAGUACUUCUACGGCAGUUUGAUGAGGCUUUAACUAACGGAAGUAGAGAGGAAUUGCUUGCUGUAAUAGAAGAAACAAGAAGUAGAGUGCGAGAUUAUUUAAGAGGUUUACAUGAAGAUUUUAAACGAUAUGCAUCAGAACCAUGUCCGUUGACAAAAUGCGUUUUGUAAAUUUGGUGACAAAUAAUUAUCUGAUAUGCCUGGUGAGAUAAUCUAUAAAAUCCUACAAAAGUUUUUGAUCAUUUAUAAGAUGUUCUACAUUUGGUUUUUUCAAAUUUUGGAAAAAGGAUUUAGUGCAUUCACCAGAGUACAAGGGGUUAAGGCUAUUUCUUUUAGAUUUAAUAUAUUCUGUAUCUAUACAGUAUUUAUACUGUAAGGUCUGUGAUGUACAUUUUUAUUUUCAUGUCUUAUUUAUACCCAUUUUACACAUGAUUUAUCCAGUACCUCAAAGCUGUAAGAUAAUUGUACUUAAAGAUAAAAUUGUUAUAGAACUGUACAAAGAUAAAAUAUUACACAACUUCAGCAACAAAUAGUACACCAAAGUCAGAUGAAACUGUUAUAAACAACUGUUUUUCAUUUUUAUACAAAAUACACUUCUAUAAAUAGAAGCACUAAGUCUAGCAAACAUGCUCUAUAUAGUUUAGUUUGUGUGAUGUCGAUCCGCUAUUUGAAAGAGUAUGUAAAAAAACAUAAAAACUAUAGAGUGGUUUAGUAUUCAAGUAAGUUUUAUACAUUCAGCACCAACACAUUUAUUUAGAAAUGCAUUUUUUUGUUAUAAUAUUUUUCGUCUGCGCAUAAUGGACAAAGUAGAAAAAGAUGUGCGCGCGCAGAAAAGGACAGAGAUUUCCUCCUGUGUUUUGUUUCUUGUCAAAUUCAAACAAAUACAACAAAAUAUAUAAUGCUGGAUAUAGUUGUAUAUCAGUCUAUUUAUAAUUUAUGUAUGUAAAGGUCUGUGACAUCAAUAAAACAACAUCCGUUAACGAGAUCGAAUCGUAUUCCAUUUUCUGAUCACCGACAAAUGUCAACGGUCAUGUGUGCGAAACAUUCCCGAGAGAAAUAUGUUGACACGCUGAAUAAAAUACGUGAUACCAUCGAAAAAUUAGAUAAAAGUUUGAAGUAUUCGCAAGACUUAGAAGCUGUCAGAUUUCUGCGAUAUUCCACCUUGAAGUCUCGUACUGCAAUUUUGACGGAUGAUUUGAGAAAGGCUAAAACACAAAACAAACAGAUGUUGAAUUUAUUUCGCCAAAGCGUGACGGAUGUUCAACUUGAUUCUGUCGAUAUAUUGCCGGAAACUCUAAAACGACAUGUACAGAGAACGUGGCAUCAAAAGUAUGACGCUUUACUAAUGCAAAAUAAACAAUUGAAAAAAAAAAUUAUCAUAAUGGAUUAUAUGAUAAAAGGAAAACAACAAGAGGUA
Molecule: long non-coding RNA, 1961 nt
Organism: Pseudomyrmex gracilis
Lineage: Eukaryota; Metazoa; Arthropoda; Insecta; Hymenoptera; Formicidae
Exons: 6
Source: RefSeq, a predicted model, not a curated record